UAACACGUAGGAGGCAAGCGUUAUUCGGAUUUACUGGGCGUAAAGCGCGUGCAGGCGGUUUGGUAAGUUGGAUGUGAAAGCUCCCGGCCUAACUGGGAGAGGUCGUUCAAUACUACCAGACUAGAGGAUGGGAGAGGGAGGUGGAAUUCCGGGUGUAGUGGUGAAAUGCGUAGAUAUCCGGAGGAACACCAGUGGCGAAAGCGGCCUCCUGGCCCAUUUCUGACGCUCAGACGCGAAAGCUAGGGUAGCAAACGGG
RNAcentral lists this ribosomal RNA (256 nucleotides) under uncultured bacterium. RNAcentral's name for it is "partial 16S ribosomal RNA". It matches the Rfam family "Bacterial small subunit ribosomal RNA", at positions 521 to 776 of the family's 1533-position model. The record is from RNAcentral.